CUUAAAGGAAUUGACGGGGGCCCGCACAAGCGGUGGAGCAUGUGGUUUAAUUCGAAGUAACGCGAAGAACCUUACCAGGUCUUGACAUACUCGUGCUAUUCCUAGGGAUAGGAAGUUCCUUCGGGACACGGGAUACAGGUGGUGCAUGGUUGUCGUCAGCUCGUGUCGUGAGAUGUUGGGUUAAGUCCCGCAACGAGCGCAACCCUUAUUGUUAGUUGCCAUCAUUAAGUUGGGCACUCUAGCGAGACUGCCGGUAAUAAACCGGAGGAAGGUGGGGAUGACGUCAAAUCAUCAUGCCCCUUAUGACCUGGGCUACACACGUGCUACAAUGGUUGGUACAACGAGUCGCAAGACAGUGAUGUCAAGCUAAUCUCUUAAAGCCAAUCUCAGUUCGGAUUGUAGGCUGCAACUCGCCUACAUGAAGUCGGAAUCGCUAGUAAUCGCGGAUCAGCACGCCGCGGUGAAUACGUUCCCGGGCCUUGUACACACCGCCCGUCACACCACGAGAGUUUGUAAUACCCAAAGCCGGUGAGCUAACCUUUUAGGAGGCAGCCGUCUAAGGUAGGAUAGAUGAUUGGGGUGAAGUCGUAACAAGGUAGC
Molecule: ribosomal RNA, 600 nt
Filed under: uncultured bacterium
Lineage: Bacteria
Description: bacterial SSU rRNA
Rfam family: Bacterial small subunit ribosomal RNA
Source: RNAcentral